RNAcentral lists this ribosomal RNA (253 nucleotides) under uncultured bacterium. RNAcentral describes it as "partial 16S ribosomal RNA". It matches the Rfam family "Bacterial small subunit ribosomal RNA", at positions 524 to 776 of the family's 1533-position model. The record is from RNAcentral.
UACGAAGGGUGCAAGCGUUGUCCGGAUUUAUUGGGCGUAAAGAGCUCGUAGGCGGUCUGUCGCGUCGGAUGUGAAAACCCAGGGCUCAACCCUGGGCCUGCAUUCGAUACGGGCAGACUAGAGUAUGGCAGGGGAGACUGGAAUUCCUGGUGUAGCGGUGAAAUGCGCAGAUAUCAGGAGGAACACCGGUGGCGAAGGCGGGUCUCUGGGCCGAUACUGACGCUGAGGAGCGAAAGCGUGGGGAGCGAACAGG